This 67-nucleotide transfer RNA is filed under the name Dreissena rostriformis. RNAcentral's name for it is "tRNA-Thr". Lineage: Eukaryota; Metazoa; Mollusca; Bivalvia; Myida; Dreissenidae. The record is from RNAcentral.
GGUUAAGUAGUUUAUAUCAAGAUCAGAGUCUUGUAAAUUCUGGGAACCAUUUUUAUGGUCUUAACCU